Molecule: ribosomal RNA, 274 nt
Filed under: uncultured bacterium
Lineage: Bacteria
Description: partial 16S ribosomal RNA
Rfam family: Bacterial small subunit ribosomal RNA
Source: RNAcentral
AUACAGAGGGUGCGAGCGUUAAUCGGAAUUACGGGGCGUAAAGCGCGCGUAGGCGGCUUAUUAAGUCAGAUGUGAAAUCCCCGGGCUCAACCUGGGAACUGCAUCUGAUACUGGUAAGCUAGAGUUUUGGAGAGGGAAGUAGAAUUUCAGGUGUAGCGGUGAAAUGCAUAGAGAUCUGAAGGAAUACCAGUGGCGAAGGCGACUUCCUGGCCAAAAACUGACGCUGAGGUGCGAAAGCGUGGGUAGCAAACGGGAUUAGAGACCCUAGUAGUCC